Molecule: long non-coding RNA, 579 nt
Filed under: Homo sapiens (human)
Lineage: Eukaryota; Metazoa; Chordata; Mammalia; Primates; Hominidae
Description: non-protein coding lnc-AKR1C2-6:3
Source: RNAcentral
GAUUGUAAGUUUCCUGAGGCCUCCACAGCCAUACUUUCUGUACAGCCUGUGGAACUGUAAUGUCUAAUGAAACUACAGGGCACUGGAGCCUUAGACCCUGCCACUUUGUUGACACCUACUGGGCAACCAAAGGAACUAGUACACAACUGCCUAGUGGUUAUAGAUCAAGAGUCUUCCAGGCGACCAGAUCUGAAGGACACAGCCCUCCAGGGUGGAGACUGGAUGCUCUUUGUGGACAGAAGCAGCCUAGUCACCAACAGAAGGAGGAAUGCUGUCUAGGCUAUAGUGACUCUCUUGGAGGUAAUAGCUGCAAGAACUCUCCCAACAGGGACUUCUGUGCAAAAGGCUGAGUAAAUUGCCCUUAUGAGAGCCUUGCAUCUGUCCAAAGUGGGAAGAGUGCUGCAACCCAGCCCUAGCCAACGCCGCAUGAGAGGGAGUGUGCCGAGGGCUUCUGAGAAGGUUUCUCUCACAUCUAGAAAGAAGCGCUUAAGAUGUGGCAGCCCCUCUUCUUCAAGUGGCUCUUGUCCUGUUGCCCUGGGAGUUCUCAAAUUGCUGCAGCAGCCUCCACCCAGCCUGAGG